AAGACUAUACUUUCAGGGAUCAUUUCUAUAGUUUGUGACUUGAGAAAUGUGUUUCUAAAGUGUAUGGUCUCAUUGCCCACGAUGAAGAGUUGGUGAUACUCCUUCAUGAACAUGAAGAACAUAGAGGCUUGUUUCAUCCUUGUUCUCUGCUACUGAUGACUGUUCACUGUUUCUUCAGUUGACAGUGAGGGAAGGAGUAUGAUCUGAGUGGU
This 212-nucleotide small nucleolar RNA is filed under the name Neogobius melanostomus (round goby). RNAcentral's name for it is "Small nucleolar RNA U3 (ENSNMLG00000024392.1)". It matches the Rfam family "Small nucleolar RNA U3". From Rfam's summary of the family: Small nucleolar RNAs (snoRNAs) are involved in the processing and modification of rRNA in the nucleolus. There are two main classes of snoRNAs: the box C/D class, and the box H/ACA class. The record is from Rfam by way of RNAcentral. Lineage: Eukaryota; Metazoa; Chordata; Actinopteri; Gobiiformes; Gobiidae.